GAUCGGGAUUCGAUGCACAUGAGAGGUUUGUUUCCAGCGUUUGGACAGUUGCAAAAUACUCCCCCCCUUCCUCCUCCUACUCAGCCACCUCUUCGCCCCACUCUUCCAUCUCCUCUCCACCACCACCAGGUUGCAUUUCGAAGAAUAGAGUGAGUCAUUGUUAUGGAUCCAGCACGCGGAUUCCUGACCCAAAGUAAAAUUCCGAAUCCGGUUAUCCGAAUCCGAAUCAUCGAAACUCUCUAGAAGGUCCGGGACCGACCCACUAGAACUCCCAACCAAUUUUUGAAUUCGAACGUCUCCCUUAUCUUAGCCAGAGAAAAUAAGAUACGAUAGCUACCUUCGCCUAUAAAUAGAGGACCCAGGUCCCUCCAGGUAUUCAUUCAUUCCUCACACCUUGUACCUCUCAGAUCCAUUCUGACUUGAGCGUCGGAGUGUCUUUGCAGGUACCUCCCCCCAUCGCUCCAGUCAAGUAAUUCGGCUUCCGCCUCGACCUGCUAGUUUCCGAUCCAUCCCUCAACCCGUACUGGAGGCAUCCAGUAGAUUGGCGCCGUCUGUGGGAAACUUACGCCGGUUUAGUCGGAAUGGCGGAUGAACCCGAAGAGCAUUCCAUAAGUCGCCAAGAUAACUCCCGAACACGAAACCCUACUCCUGAAAACCAAGAAGCCAUACUCCAAGGAAGGAUAGCAAGUACCGUCCAUAACAAAGAAAACAACCCCGCCAAGACUCGGAAUCUCGGGAAUCCGGAAGACAAGUCAGCGCAAAUAAUCAGAGAACUCUGCCACAGAGUACAGGAACUUGAAGGUCGGGUUGCCAACAAAGAAAGGCAUAACGCCGAACAUGGAAGUCACGCAACCUCCAGAUCCAGGUCCCGCCACGGCAAAUCGCCAGAACGACGACACGCCAAAAGGCAUGAUAGAAGCACCUCACGUAACAGAUCUCCAGAAUGAAGAUACAGCAAAAGAUACGACCGCAGAAUAUCUCGCGAUCCCGCCCACACGGACGAUGACCAACGAUACCGAGAAACCAAAUGCACAAGAAACGACCAUGUGAUAAUGGGAGCCACCCCCUUCACAGAAAGAAUUUUGAAAGCAAAGCUCCCCAAAGGAUUUGAUAAAUCCACGGACAUGAAAUACGACGGAACCAAAGACCCCCAGGAAUAUUUAACAGCAUUCAAAGCCUGAAUGAACCUAGAAGGCGCCACUGACGCCGUCCGAUGCAGAGCCUUCCCAGUGACCUUGUCCGGACCAGCGAUCAAAUGGUUCAAUGCCCUCCCCAACGAAUCCAUAACCGGCUUUCGCGACAUAUCACGAAGGUUCAUGGCCCAAUUCACCACCAGAAUCACCAAGGCCAAACACCCCAUCAGCCUAUUAGGGUUCACACAAAGGCACGACGAAUCCACAAGGAAGUAUCUCGACCGAUUCAACGACGAAUGCCUAACAAUCGACGGGCUCAUAGACUCGGUCGCAAGUCUCUGCCUUACGAACAGACUCAUGAAUGAAGACUUCCGCAAACACCUUACCACCAAACCAGUAUGGUCCAUUCACGAGAUCCAAAACAUCGCCAAAGAUUAUAUAAACAACGAAGAGGUCAGUCAGGUCGUCGCCGCCAACAAACGGCAACACAACAAUGCCCAAUACGGCAACCCGACUCCUCGGCACAACCCACCCAGAGAAGGCCUAAGGGAACACCACAAACCAACAAACACAAAUCGACCACCCAGGAUCGGCAAAUUCUCUAAUUACACACCCCUAACGGCCCCAAUUACCGAGAUAUACCACCAGAUAGCAGAUCGAGGCAUCAUCUCAAAAGCCCGGCAACUCAAAGAAAGAACAGGUAGCAACAAAAUCCUCUACUGCGACUACCACCGAGGUUACGGGAACAGGACACAAGACUGUUUCGACCUCAAAGACGCCCUCGUACAAGCCAUAAGAGAUGGCAAACUCCCAGAGUUCGCCAAAAUCAUCAGAGAACCAAGACGUGCAGAAAGGGACAGGUCAACUGAAAGAGAAGGACGCAACCCGAGAACACAAAAACAACCUCCCAAGGAAAGUCUAGAAGACAACCCGACCAUAAUAGUAAACGUUAUCACAGGCAAAGACAUACCAGGCAAAUCAAAAUCGACGCUAAAAAAGGACCUCAAGGUCUUGGCCGUCAGAAAUCAAGCCCCAUCUACCACUCCCGACAAAACGAUAAACUUUCUACCCGAGGACUGCCAACACGGCACCUAGGCCGAAGAUGCACCUUUCGUCAUCUCGGCAAGAAUCGGAACGGGACUAGUUCGAAGGAUACAAGUGGACACCGGUGCAGACUCCAACAUCCUCUUCCCAGAAUCCUUCGACAAGCUCGGGCUCCGCAACGAAAAUCUCCAAACACACUGCAAUGGCGUUAUAGGACUUAGGGACAAUUUCCUCAAACCGGACAGCUCCAUCACCCUACCCCUCACCAUAGGGACAGGCAACCAAAGGAAGACAAUUCUGUCCGAAUUUGUGGUCCUAAAAGAUUCCACCGCCUACAACGUCAUCCAUGGAAGGAAAACGAUCAAUGACAUCUCCGCCAUCAUUUUUACCAAAUAUCUCCUUAUGAAAUUCAUAGCGGAUGACGGCUACAUAGCCACUAUUCACGGAGACCGCGAGGUCGUAGCAGAAUGCGACAACACCAGUCUAGCUUUACGAAAGAAGUCUUGCGAUGCGGCUGGGAUAUUCCUAGCCGACUUGGACGCCCGACAAGACGGCCAGCACAGACCAGAACCAGAAGGCGACAUGGAAAAACUACAAAUAGGACGAACCAAAGACGAAUACACUUUCAUCAACAGAAACCUCCCAUACGACCUUAAAGAAAACCUUUCUCAAUUUUUGAAACAAAACAGAGACCUAUUCGCUUUCACACUAGCCGACAUGCCCGGGAUAGACCCCGACCUAAUGUCCCACCGACUAGCCGUAGAUCCCAAAGCCAAACCCGUGGCACAAAGAAGACGAAAAAUGUCCCAGGACUGGGCAGCCGAGGUCAGGAGACAAGUAAAUGCCUUACUCGAGGCAAACUUCAUCAGAGAACUACCAUACACGACGUGGUUGGCAAACGUCGUAUUAGUAAAGAAGUCCAACGGGAAAUGGCGAAUGUACGUCGAUUAUACGGACCUUAACAAAGCUUGUCCAAAAGACGCCUUCUCCCUACCCAACAUCGAUGGAUUGGUAGACGCCGCAUCCGGCCAUCGAUACCUCAGCUUCAUGGAUGCAUACUCCGGCUAUAAUUAAAUACCGAUGCACCGACCCGACGAGAAAAAAACAGCAUUUAUCACCCCCGACGGAACAUACUGCUACACGGUCAUGCCUUUUGGCCUAAAGAACGCCGGAGCAACCUACCAAAGGCUCGUCAGUAAGAUAUUUCAAAAUCUGUCUGGAACCAAAUUAGAAGUCUACAUAGAUGACAUGCUCGCCAAAACUGAAUCCGGCGAACAACUCAUCAGCGACCUCAGGCUCAUAAUGAACACCCUACGAAAGCAUCGAAUGCGACUCAACCCGACAAAAUGCGUCUUCGGAAUGGAGGCAGGAAAAUUCCUCGGCUUCAUUUUCACUUAACGCGAAGUCGAAGCUAACCCAGAGAAAUGUCGCACCAUCCUUGACAUGACAAGCCCAAAAAACCUCAACGACAUCCAAAAGCUCGCCGGCCGGCUCACAGUGUUAUCCCGCUUCCUCGGAGCAUCGGCACAAAAAGCAAUUCCCUUCUUCAAACUGAUGAAGAAAGGAGCCCCCUUUAAAUGGGAAGCAGAAUGCGAAGAAGCCUUCCAACACUUCAAAAGAGUCCUAGCAGAACCACCAAUUCUCGCCAAACCCCAAACAGGGGAGACCCUCUACCUAUACCUCUCCAAAACGGAUGAGGCACUGGCAGCAGCACUCAUUCGCGAAAACGAGCAGAAAGAACAAAAACCCAUAUACUUCAUAAGCAAGGUCCUACAAGACGCAGAGACCCACUACUCACGUCUAGAAAAACUCGCUUUCGCGCUCCUCACGGCCUCCCGGCACUUACGACAAUACUUCUAGGCCCAUCCCGUGACGGUCCGGACCGACCAAGCAGUCAAACAGGUACUACAAAAGCCCGACCUACCAGGAAGAAUGCUAGCAUGGUCCAUCGAGCUGUCCCAAUUCCAAUUCAAGUUUGAACCCCGAAACGCAAUCAAAGCACAAGCCAUGGCCGACUUCAUCGCCGAAAUGACUCCGGGAAAUCCCACUCCCGAGUCAUGGAAGCUGCACGUCGACGGCUCAUCAAACGUCACCUCCGGAGGUGCCGGGGUCAUACUCGAAAGCUAAAACGGGGUCGUAAUCGAACAGUCAGUACGAUAUGAAUUCCCAGUUUCUAAUAAUCAAGCAGAAUAUGAGGCCCUCCUGGCAGGCCUAGCCCUAGCCAAGGACGUCGGAGCAAAAGUCCUGGAAGUAAGCACUGAUUCACAGGUAUUUAGCUCCCAAAUCAACGGAGACUACCAAACACGGGACCCUUUACUCCAACAAUACCUUGCCAAGGUAAACAAACCGAAAGAAGGGUUCAAUCACAUCACCAUACGGCACGUUCCCAGAGAACGAAAUACCAGAGCAGAUCUUCUCUCCAAGCUAGCCAGCACCAAACUAGGACACGGCAAUAAAUCGCUAAUUCAGGAAGUCAUUAAAUCACCGUCCAUAUCCACAGCAGCUAACGCUUGCCUGACACUCUCUGGCCAAGGAUCAUGGACCUACCCUAUCCUACAAUACCUCCUCGACGGAACACUACCUGAAGACCCCAAAGAGGAGAAAUGGACAAAAAGAGAAGCCGCCAACUACACGGUUGUCGCAGGGCAACUAUACAAACCUGGACUCUCGCAACCCCUCCUCAAAUGCGUUGAAGCCGGAGACACGGAGUACAUACUCCGCGAAAUCCAUAAAGGUUGUUGUGGCCACCACAUCGGAGGUAAAACCCUCGGCCAAAAAGUUAUCCGAGCCAGCUACUUCUGGCCCACGGUUAUCCAGGACUCCAUGCAGUUAGUAAAAAAUUGCGAUAAAUGCCAAAAGCACGCCAACAUCCACCAGGCCGCCCCGCACCAGCUCAGCAUCAUAUCGGGAGAGCAGCCAUUCGGCACCUGGGGAAUCGACCUUGUCGAACCCCUUCCUACGGCACCCGGCCAACUCCGAUAUCUCAUCGUCGCCAUACUACACUAAGUGGAUCGAGGCUGAGCCCCUGGCCUCCAUCACGGCAACCCAAUGCCGAAAAUUCCUCUGGCGACAGAUCAUCACCCGAUUCGGGAUCCCCGAGAUCGUUAUCUCGGACAACGGAACCCAAUUUGCUGACAAAAAGUUCAGAGAAUUCCUAGAAGGACUACACAUAUCCCACCGUUUUAGCUCGGUAGAACACCCCCAAACAAACGGACAGGUGGAAUCUGCAAACAAAAUAAUCGUCAAAGGACUCAAGAAACGGCUCGACGAAGCCAAAGGACUAUGGGCCGACGAACUCGGUUUGGUCCUAUGGUCAUACAGAACAACACCCCAAACGACCAUAGGGGAGACACCUUUCCGAUUAACAUACGGUAUAAAAGUCGUCAUCCCAGUGGAGAUAGGAGACCCAAGCCCCAGAAAAACGGUCGGAAGGAACGACGAGGAAGCGGAACGCGACCUCAUCGACGAAGAAAGAAGCAUAGCUCAUAUCAGAAACUAGCCCUAAAACAAAGAAUCAGCUUAAGGUACAACCACGGCGUCAUCAAAUGAGAAUUUGCACCCGACGACCUCGUCCUACGACGAAAUGACAUCGGAGCCCCGACCCCAGGGGAAGGAAAACUCACCCCCAAUUGGGAAGGACCAUACAGAAUCAAAGCCACCAUCGGAAGGGGAGCAUACAAACUCGAACGACUCAACGGCGACGAAGUCCCGAGAACAUGGAACGCCGCCAACUUACGACGCUACUACACUUAGACCGACCUCUUUAGGCAUUUCAGAGGCAGCAAGCACCAAAUCCAGUGUCUGUAACUGCUCUGCCACAACAACCACCGGGGAUACGCCCUCGAGUGCGAGCAAGAAGAGGCCAAGCUACCGAUCCUCACAGUAUUGCUGAGAGG
RNA transcript from Arachis stenosperma, 6073 nucleotides. It is a transcript of the gene named transcription factor UNE12-like, with no coding region annotated. The record is from RefSeq and is a predicted model, not a curated record. Lineage: Eukaryota; Viridiplantae; Streptophyta; Magnoliopsida; Fabales; Fabaceae. The transcript is spliced from 3 exons.